Long non-coding RNA from Planococcus citri (citrus mealybug), 850 nucleotides. RefSeq lists it as uncharacterized. The record is from RefSeq and is a predicted model, not a curated record. The transcript is spliced from 2 exons. NCBI's taxonomy places the organism in Eukaryota, Metazoa, Arthropoda, Insecta, Hemiptera, Pseudococcidae.
AGUCAGAGAUUUUCGAUUAUAAAAUAACCAGAUGCGAUAGGUUUUCCACACAGUUGUUUUCCAGUCCUAGCUCACAGUUCGUUUUUCUGAAACUCGCGUGUGACAGCAGUACUUUGUGAAAUAUCUACACACGUACAAGUUCUUCUUCAGGUUUAUAGGCAGUUUGAUUGUAACCAUGGUUUCUCGCGUUUUCAUCGUAUGUACUAUUAUCUUUUUCUCGAUGAUCAUGAACAUGGAUGCAAAACUAGACAUUACCAACACGGAUUACGAAAAUAAAGGAGGAGCAAACGUAUGUAACGAUGAAUCUGAAAGCAAACUCAAUGCACUUUGUGCAGAACACUUCGGGACUGGAUGUACAGGAGAAUGUAAAAAAUGGUGGAUAAGAUUCGUAAUGAAUAAUUCAGAUAAGAAAAAAAUUUUAAUUUGCAAAAAUGGUGGUGCUAUACAGGGUUGCCUGUAUAAUAAAGACGGUACCGUUACAAAAACUGGUUAUUCUGCAGAGGAGGAGUGCUCGUAAAAUACACUAACACGAAAAAAACUGAUUUCCAUCCCCCAAGUAUUUUGAGAUAAUUUUUCAAGACAGCCUCGUAUAUCAUAUCUGCUAUUUUGAAGAGUCAUCUCAAAAUACCUAGCUGGUGGAAAUUGCUUCUCUUUGUAUCCUUUUGAAAAAUUUUAAGCUAAGUUUUAUUGUUAUUAUUUUUAUUCAAUUACCUACAUAUAUUCAUAAGUACGAAGUAGUUAAAUACAUAUAAGUAUAUUUAUUAUAAUCAAAUAUUUCCCCUAGGGCCACGUUUUGUUGUAGAUUAUUAAUUAAUUUUAUUUGUUUAAAUAUAUCUGUGUGUGCAAUGAA